CUACGGGUCGCAGCAGUGAGGAAUAUUGGUCAAUGGGCGCAAGCCUGAACCAGCCAUCCCGCGUGGAGGAAGACGGCCCUAUGGGUUGUAAACUCCUUUUAUAAGGGAAGAAUAUACGUAUCGUGAUAUGUUUUGACGGUACCUUAUGAAUAAGCAUCGGCUAACUCCGUGCCAGCAGCCGCGGUAAUACGGAGGAUGCAAGCGUUAUCCGGAUUCAUGGGGUUUAAAGGGUGCGCAGGCGGGCAAAUAAGUCAGUGGUGAAAUCUUACGGCUCAACCGUGAAACUGCCAUUGAUACUGUUAGUCUUGAGUACGGCUGAGGUAGGCGGAAUGUGUAAUGUAGCGGUGAAAUGCUUAGAUAUUACACAGAACACCAAUUGCGUAGGCAGCUUACUAGACCGUAACUGACGCUGAGGCACGAAAGCGUGGGUAGCGAACAGGAUUAGAUACCCCCGUAGUC
RNAcentral lists this ribosomal RNA (459 nucleotides) under uncultured bacterium. RNAcentral's name for it is "partial 16S ribosomal RNA". It matches the Rfam family "Bacterial small subunit ribosomal RNA", at positions 339 to 795 of the family's 1533-position model. The record is from RNAcentral.